CGAGCCGACCGGGCGGCCGCGGUACCGGCCACCGCCUUCAUAACGGUGGCGGGCUGAGGAACGUCCGGGCUCCACAGAGCAGGGCGGUGGCUAACGGCCACCCGGGGUGACCCGCGGGACAGUGCCACAGAGAGCAGACCGCCCAUCGGAAACCGGUGGGUAAGGGUGAAAGGGUGGGGUAAGAGCCCACCAGCGCGGCGGGUGACCGUCGCGGCUCGGUAAACCCCGCCCGGAGCAAGACCGCACAGCUGACGCUUGAAGGCUGCUCGCCCGAGUCAGCGGGUAGGUCGCAUGAGGCCGCUGGCAACAGUGGUCCAAGAUGAAUGGUCGCCACCGCCCAGGCCGGCAACGGCGGGCGGCAACAGAACCCGGCGUACAGGUCGGCUCGUCCG
RNAcentral lists this RNase P RNA (392 nucleotides) under Actinomyces oris. RNAcentral describes it as "RNase P RNA component class A". It matches the Rfam family "Bacterial RNase P class A". Rfam says of the family: Ribonuclease P (RNase P) is a ubiquitous endoribonuclease, found in archaea, bacteria and eukarya as well as chloroplasts and mitochondria. Its best characterised activity is the generation of mature 5'-ends of tRNAs by cleaving the 5'-leader elements of precursor-tRNAs. Lineage: Bacteria; Bacillati; Actinomycetota; Actinomycetes; Actinomycetales; Actinomycetaceae. The record is from RNAcentral.